Molecule: ribosomal RNA, 2154 nt
Filed under: Klebsiella pneumoniae
Lineage: Bacteria; Pseudomonadati; Pseudomonadota; Gammaproteobacteria; Enterobacterales; Enterobacteriaceae
Description: bacterial LSU rRNA
Rfam family: Bacterial large subunit ribosomal RNA
Source: RNAcentral
AAUUAGCGGAUGACUUGUGGCUGGGGGUGAAAGGCCAAUCAAACCGGGAGAUAGCUGGUUCUCCCCGAAAGCUAUUUAGGUAGCGCCUCGUGAAUUCAUCUUCGGGGGUAGAGCACUGUUUCGGCUAGGGGGUCAUCCCGACUUACCAACCCGAUGCAAACUACGAAUACCGAAGAAUGUUAUCACGGGAGACACACGGCGGGUGCUAACGUCCGUCGUGAAGAGGGAAACAACCCAGACCGCCAGCUAAGGUCCCAAAGUCAUGGUUAAGUGGGAAACGAUGUGGGAAGGCACAGACAGCCAGGAUGUUGGCUUAGAAGCAGCCAUCAUUUAAAGAAAGCGUAAUAGCUCACUGGUCGAGUCGGCCUGCGCGGAAGAUGUAACGGGGCUAAACCAUGCACCGAAGCUGCGGCAGCGACGCUUAUGCGUUGUUGGGUAGGGGAGCGUUCUGUAAGCCUGCGAAGGUGACCUGUGAGGGUUGCUGGAGGUAUCAGAAGUGCGAAUGCUGACAUAAGUAACGAUAAAGCGGGUGAAAAGCCCGCUCGCCGGAAGACCAAGGGUUCCUGUCCAACGUUAAUCGGGGCAGGGUGAGUCGACCCCUAAGGCGAGGCCGAAAGGCGUAGUCGAUGGGAAACAGGUUAAUAUUCCUGUACUUGGUGUUACUGCGAAGGGGGGACGGAGAAGGCUAUGUUAGCCGGGCGACGGUUGUCCCGGUUUAAGCAUGUAGGCUGGUUGUCCAGGCAAAUCCGGAUAAUCAAGGCUGAGGUGUGAUGACGAGGCACUACGGUGCUGAAGUAACAAAUGCCCUGCUUCCAGGAAAAGCCUCUAAGCAUCAGGUAACAUUAAAUCGUACCCCAAACCGACACAGGUGGUCAGGUAGAGAAUACCAAGGCGCUUGAGAGAACUCGGGUGAAGGAACUAGGCAAAAUGGUGCCGUAACUUCGGGAGAAGGCACGCUGGUGUGUAGGUGAAGUCCCUGCGGAUGGAGCUGAGACCAGUCGAAGAUACCAGCUGGCUGCAACUGUUUAUUAAAAACACAGCACUGUGCAAACACGAAAGUGGACGUAUACGGUGUGACGCCUGCCCGGUGCCGGAAGGUUAAUUGAUGGGGUUAUCCGUAAGGAGAAGCUCUUGAUCGAAGCCCCGGUAAACGGCGGCCGUAACUAUAACGGUCCUAAGGUAGCGAAAUUCCUUGUCGGGUAAGUUCCGACCUGCACGAAUGGCGUAAUGAUGGCCAGGCUGUCUCCACCCGAGACUCAGUGAAAUUGAACUCGCUGUGAAGAUGCAGUGUACCCGCGGCAAGACGGAAAGACCCCGUGAACCUUUACUAUAGCUUGACACUGAACAUUGAGCCUUGAUGUGUAGGAUAGGUGGGAGGCUUUGAAGCGUGGACGCCAGUCUGCGUGGAGCCAACCUUGAAAUACCACCCUUUAAUGUUUGAUGUUCUAACGUUGGCCCCUUACCGGGGUUGAGGACAGUGUCUGGUGGGUAGUUUGACUGGGGCGGUCUCCUCCCAAAGCGUAACGGAGGAGCACGAAGGUUAGCUAAUCCUGGUCGGACAUCAGGAGGUUAGUGCAAUGGCAUAAGCUAGCUUGACUGCGAGCGUGACGGCGCGAGCAGGUGCGAAAGCAGGUCAUAGUGAUCCGGUGGUUCUGAAUGGAAGGGCCAUCGCUCAACGGAUAAAAGGUACUCCGGGGAUAACAGGCUGAUACCGCCCAAGAGUUCAUAUCGACGGCGGUGUUUGGCACCUCGAUGUCGGCUCAUCACAUCCUGGGGCUGAAGUAGGUCCCAAGGGUAUGGCUGUUCGCCAUUUAAAGUGGUACGCGAGCUGGGUUUAGAACGUCGUGAGACAGUUCGGUCCCUAUCUGCCGUGGGCGCUGGAGAAUUGAGGGGGGCUGCUCCUAGUACGAGAGGACCGGAGUGGACGCAUCACUGGUGUUCGGGUUGUCAUGCCAAUGGCACUGCCCGGUAGCUAAAUGCGGAAGAGAUAAGUGCUGAAAGCAUCUAAGCACGAAACUUGCCCCGAGAUGAGUUCUCCCUGAGACUUUAAGUCUCCUGAAGGAACGUUAAAGACGAUGACGUUGAUAGGCCGGGUGUGUAAGCGCAGCGAUGCGUUGAGCUAACCGGUACUAAUGAACCGUGAGGCUUAACCUU